This 113-nucleotide ribosomal RNA is filed under the name Lysobacteraceae bacterium. Lineage: Bacteria; Pseudomonadati; Pseudomonadota; Gammaproteobacteria; Lysobacterales; Lysobacteraceae. RNAcentral also lists the same sequence under 3 other names. The record is from RNAcentral.
CCUGGCGGCCAUAGCGCUGUGGUCCCACCCGAUCCCAUCCCGAACUCGGAAGUGAAACGCAGCCGCGCCGAUGGUAGUGUGCACUUGCAUGCAAGAGUAGGUCACCGCCAGGG